This 253-nucleotide ribosomal RNA is filed under the name uncultured bacterium. RNAcentral describes it as "partial 16S ribosomal RNA". It matches the Rfam family "Bacterial small subunit ribosomal RNA", at positions 524 to 776 of the family's 1533-position model. The record is from RNAcentral.
UACGGAGGAUGCAAGCGUUAUCCGGAAUUAUUGGGCGUAAAGCGUUCGUAGGCGGUCAAGCAAGUCUGCUGUCAAAUCCCGCAGCUCAACUGCGGAUAGGCAGUGGAAACUGCAUGACUAGAGUGUGGCAGGGGUAGGGGGAAUUCCCGGUGUAGCGGUGAAAUGCGUAGAUAUCGGGAAGAACACCAGUGGCGAAAGCGCCCUACUGGGCCACAACUGACGCUGAGGGACGAAAGCUAGGGGAGCGAAAGGG